RNAcentral lists this ribosomal RNA (577 nucleotides) under Penicillium sp. MAB-2010j. RNAcentral's name for it is "eukaryotic LSU rRNA". The stretch from base 220 to 373 matches the Rfam family "5.8S ribosomal RNA". Lineage: Eukaryota; Fungi; Ascomycota; Eurotiomycetes; Eurotiales; Aspergillaceae. The record is from RNAcentral.
GUAACAAGGUUUCCGUAGGUGAACCUGCGGAAGGAUCAUUACCGAGUGCGGGCCCUCGCGGCCCAACCUCCCACCCUUGUCUCUAUACACCUGUUGCUUUGGCGGGCCCACCGGGGCCACCGGGUCGCCGGGGGACGCACGUCCCCGGGCCCGCGCCCGCCGAAGCGCUCUGUGAACCCUGAUGAAGAUGGGCUGUCUGAGUACUAUGAAAAUUGUCAAAACUUUCAACAAUGGAUCUCUUGGUUCCGGCAUCGAUGAAGAACGCAGCGAAAUGCGAUAAGUAAUGUGAAUUGCAGAAUUCCGUGAAUCAUCGAAUCUUUGAACGCACAUUGCGCCCCCUGGCAUUCCGGGGGGCAUGCCUGUCCGAGCGUCAUUUCUGCCCUCAAGCACGGCUUGUGUGUUGGGUGUGGUCCCCCCGGGGACCUGCCCGAAAGGCAGCGGCGACGUCCGUCUGGUCCUCGAGCGUAUGGGGCUCUGUCACUCGCUCGGGAAGGACCUGCGGGGGUUGGUCACCACCAUGUUUUACCACGGUUGACCUCGGAUCAGGUAGGAGUUACCCGCUGAACUUAAGCAUAUC